AAAACAUGGUUUUUUGUUUUAUAUAAAAAAUCUGGCCUGCUCAGUGAGUUUUAAAUAGCUGCAGUAUUUUGACUGUACAAAGGUAGCAUAAUCACUUGUCCUUUAAUUGAGGUCUGGAAUGAAUGGUUUGAUGAAAAAUAUACUUUAUUUAUUUUUAAGAAAAAAUUUAAUUUUUGAGUAAAAAAGCUUGAAAAUUUUUUUAUAGGACGAGAAGACCCUAUAGAGCUUUAUUUUAUUAUUUUUGUAUUAUGUUAGGUUAUAUAUUUUUAAUAAAAAUGGUGAAAUUUUGUUGGGGUGACAAAAAAAAUAUAAUAACUUUUUUUAAUUAUUACAUUGAUUAAUGUAUUUUUGAUCCUUUUUUUGGAAAAAAGAAUAAGCUACCUUAGGGAUAACAGCGUUAUUAUUUUGGAGAGUUCAUAUCGAUGAAAUAGUUUGCGACCUCGAUGUUGGAUUAAAAUAAGAUAUAGAAGUAGAAUGUUAUAUUCUUGGUCUGUUCGACCUUUAAAUUUUUACAUGAUCU
RNAcentral lists this ribosomal RNA (520 nucleotides) under Orthotylinae gen. ZANCGEN2 sp. Msp171. Its description in RNAcentral is "partial large subunit ribosomal RNA". It matches the Rfam family "Bacterial large subunit ribosomal RNA", at positions 1810 to 2606 of the family's 2925-position model. The record is from RNAcentral. Lineage: Eukaryota; Metazoa; Arthropoda; Insecta; Hemiptera; Miridae.